Molecule: long non-coding RNA, 5303 nt
Filed under: Sus scrofa (pig)
Lineage: Eukaryota; Metazoa; Chordata; Mammalia; Artiodactyla; Suidae
Description: cysteine dioxygenase type 1 (ENSSSCG00000014219.5)
Source: RNAcentral
AAAAAACCUUCUCAUAAAGUCACAAGAAUAUAUUCACCUCUUUCAGUGGGAGAAACUCUUCUUUGAGAGAAACCAAGUUUUAGUCUAAAAAAGUUUUUCAGACAUGAAUUGUCACUGCAGAAAAUGAUUUCUUCAUAACAAAAUGAUUUUUUUGCUAUUUUUAAAAUGAAAACUCAAAAAACUCCCAAGCCUUUGCGAAACAGCAAAGUCUCUCUCACCCACUGCCUAGUUUGAAAAAACGUAUACUGCCAAAUUUAUUUCCAUACAAAACCAUUCCCAAUCACAUGUGGGGCCUUUGGAGGCCCUGACAGUGUAAGGCACCCCACUUUUCCCUUCUGCGUGCUUUAAGCGGAACUAUAUUGCAGCAUAAUGCUUUCAAUUUGUUCCAGUAGAACAUAGCUAAUCUGCAUUCCAUUUUCUGGCCUCACUGGAUGCAUGAACAGCUGAUGUCACAGGCACAGGCAAAAUCUUCAGCUUUGUUAUGCACAAGCUUUUAGGCCUCACCUGCAUUCUCAAGUGUCAAACACCCCUCUGGGAUGGGCUGUCUGACCUGGAGAUACUCAUUCCAGCCAGUUAGUGGUAUUGCAAGAACGCCAAGGCUUUGGAGGAGCUGUGUCCUCUGAGGCUGCUGGCUGCCCAGAAAUCUGAGACAGGCUUUUAUGAUGACAUCUAGUUGCUUGCCAUAUGGUGUCUCAAGGGGUCUGUGACCACUUUCGGCAAGAAUCUAGCAGCAUCAUGUUACAGUGUCCAAGAAGCACUUGGUAUUGACAUAAGAAACAUAUUUCUUGGGGACUUUCAUAAGCCAUGGAGAUGGGGCAAAUCAUUGGAAGGCUUGGAUUAAUCCAGUAAGGAACAAAGCAAGGAGUUGGCUGGCAGGCACACCCAGCACAAAUUUUCUAGUUCAGAAGACUCUGUAGGUUUAUUAGAAAGUGUUGCACAGCAAUUUCAGGGUGGUAUUUAUUAAUUGUUCCAUUUGGUCCCCAUAUAAAUUAUUGCCUUCACAAAUACUAAUCAUUGAAAAUCUCACAGAAAAUGUAUUGUUAUUUUUAUUACUGGAGGGAACAGUGUCAAAUCUGUGAUGUUGUUUUUAAUCGUGUGAUCACAGGUGACUUUUUCCUGCUGCUUCAUGUUUUCUGUAACUUCCAAGAGAGCUACAAUGGUGCAAGAGUAGGGAUUUAGACUCCAGUGAUUGGCUCUACUAAGACUUACAUGGCCUUGGGAAAAUUACUGUCUCACUCUACUUCCAUUUCCUUCUGUAAAAUGGGGAUAAGAGUACUAAUACUAUCUGCCUUCAUGAGGCUCUUGAGAGGAUCAAAUGAGAGGCUACAAAUAAAGAGCUUAAACAGUGCCUGAAACAUUGUAACUAAAGGCAAAUUUUAGCUCUUGUUACUAUCAUUACUAUGGAAUUGUAAGACUCGAUUUGUUUUUCUCUCCAAUUUGUAAUUUCUUUCUGGUUGGGAUAUAUCCUAUAUUAGAUGACGUGACAUGGCUUAAAGGACAGUUCUUUUUUCUAUCUUGGCGAUACAUGAAACAAAUGCAUCUUAAAUAGUACUUUGUGUUUGCUGAAUAGUUAUUUCUGAUUCUAUAUUUCCUUUGAGGGAUGUGAAAGGAUAGCAUUUAGCCCUGAGAUUUUGGCCUUUCUUUAGCCUUUCCCUUCCUGCUUCUCUCGCUGAAGAGUAUGGCAAAAGCUGGACUGCAGGGACCCUGCUCUUCCUUUCUGGUCCUUUUGGGACUGUAGUAUGAAUGGAUGAGUUCAAUCCAGGGGGUGCUGGGCCUUAGGGCAUUUGCAGCAAACCUGGAGAACUAGACAAAGAAGUGAAUUAAUUUGGGUGGCAAAAUGGUAGUCUAAGAUGGAAGGAGGUCUAAAGUGGGGUCCUGUUACGAAGACCUGUGACUGUGGUGGUUUCACACAAUCUGCAGCUGUACAAGUAACUUUUUUUUUUUUUCUAGGGCUGCUCCCAUGGCAUGUGGAGGUUCCCAGGCUAGGGGUCCAAUCGGAGCUGUAGCUGCCGGCCUACACCAGAGCCACAGCAAUGCGGGAUCUGAGCCAUGUCUGCGACCUACACCACAGCUCACGGCAACACCGGAUCCUUAACCCACCGAGCAAGGUCAGGGAUUGAACCUGCAACCUCAUUGUUCCUAGUCAGAUUCAUUAACCACCACACCACGACAGGAACUCCACAAUUAACUCUUAAUGGCUGUGGCCUGGGCCAGAGCCUCCCUCUCAUGGGCCAUGUGGUAUUUUGAACUUGCUGUUACUGAUGCUCAUGGGGCUUUAUUCGCAGGCCAGUGGCUGUCUUUUAUGGAAGAGGAUCCAGCAAAUGUAGGGGAUCCACGGUUGGCCUCAGCAGACAGCCAUGAGGGGACAGGUGAGCAAGCUGACCCUGGCCUUGCUGAGCUCAGCAGAAGUACUGUUCCCAAGUGGAAGCUUUGAUGUACAGGCUGCAGCUGUCUUUUUGGAUUACACAGGCACAUGUCCUUCAGCCUCCCGGGCUUCUUGCAAUACCAGAGGACCUCAGAGGAAUUCAUAAUGAAGGAGCUGAGGCAAUCACCCACUUUUAGAGAAAAAGAGAUUUUUAAAGCAGAAUUCUUUUGCUGUUUUUAAAAUGCACUUCAGGAGUCCCCUUGUGGUACAGCAGGUUAAGGAUCAGGCAUGGUCACUGUAGCAGCUUGGGUCCCUGGCCUGGGAACUUCCACAUGUUGUGGGUGUGACCAAAAAUAAAUAAAUAAAUGAAGUGUGUGUGUGUGUGUGUGUGUGUGUGUGUGUGUGUGGCAGAGGGUUUCAAUUAUGAAUGCCAGAGCUUGGGAGGGAACAUUAGCUGAGCUGCCUCAAUUCCAUUCUGCCUCCAGACCAAAGAAGUGAGCUGUGAAAGAGCCAACUUUGGGUUCGCAGGGCUUGUGGACAGAUUCAAGAAUCACUCCCCACCAUGUGAUGUUAAUAUGGCUCAGGUUAGAAGGCAAGGUAUUAAGGACUAGUGAACCCACGGCCAGAGGUGUUAGAAACAGCAUCUAUGGCCAAAGAAAGGAAAGGCAGGCUUACACAAGAAUGUAAAUACUACGGAAUGAACUGGGGCCUACAUUCAAGUCAAUAUUGGGGUACUAGUGAAGGAAAAUGUGUACUGAGAUUGAAAACUAUGUAUCCAUGCGCCACCUAGACUGGCACACACCCUUCAUGGUUAUCCUAUUCUGAUUCUAUGGAACCAUUUUUUUUACCACUGACUCUGUAAGUUAAAUAACUGAUGGCAAUGCAAAAUAAUUGUCUUCAGACAUGGAAAUGAUUCCUUCUGUGGAGGGACAGCACUUACCUCCCAUCCUGUGCAAAAACCAAUUUGGUAUCUAUUUGCACGUUCAUUUCAACAUUCAUUACUCCAUAAAUAUCUGUGCUUCUUUGGCUUCUCUGAGCCAGUUGCCUGGUUUUUCCAUUUAAUCUAUGAGUGAAAUAAAAUCUUUACCAUAUGUUCAUUUUCUAUGUAUAUGUGAGUUAUGAUUUGCUUCUUUUGGAAAUAUCUUUUAACAUUCAAAGCAUAUUCAAAGGGGAAAUGGAAAGUUAGGAAAUGUGAUAUACAUGAGGUGGAAGGAAAGGCACCUCACAUCAGACUGGGAAUGCCAGUAGUUCAAAUUUCUAGACUUGUCUCAAGGCAGCAAUAUCUUAAAUGCUCUUCUCUGAGAAAAGACAAUAUGUAUAAGUGGAUUUCUCUCCCAAUCUAGAAAAUUCAUAGUUCCAAAAAUAAUCUUUGCCAGGAGCUAUUUCCCAACUGAUUUGAAGUUCACAGUUCAUGGUCUCUGGACAACUAACAUAAACUCUGGCACACUGGCACAGGUCAAAACAAGGAGAUGCCCUUCUCUCAAUGCCACUGAAUCUGUGGUCUUGCCAGCUCUUUCUGGUCUAGACUAAAUACUGAGUUCUGGGAAUAUAAUUUUGUUCUGGGCUAACUGCCCUAAGCACUGGGGAUGGAGUCAUUUUCUAAAUUUUGUAGACCUGGACCAAUGCUAUGAUAAUCUUUUAUGUCCUACUAAUAAUUAACUCUGGACUUUUUUCAAGGGUGGUUUGUCAAAGAUUUGGCGUUUAGGUGAUACCACUUGUUAUAAACUACAUUAAUUAUGGUAUGAAGGUUUGGCUGCUGCAAGAAUCCCAGCUUUACCCAAAAUAGAGACUUCCUCUAUCAAAACUCAACAAGAUAAGGAAUUGGAAAGGGUAAAUUGUGAGCACUAAUGUCUUUGUACUUUAACACUGAAAGGCAAGGAAAAUUGAUUCUGGGCUUCUUUUUUCACUGUUAUGGCUUUAGAUUCACUUUGUAAGCAGGGCUCAGUUUAUGGACCUCCAUUGGUUUUUGAGAACUGUUAAUGAGAGGGAAUUUAUAUUCAUAUUUCUAUGUUGAACAUUUUUGUUGGUCUAUGUUAAUGUUGUCGUUUGCUGUCAUUGUGACUGUGUAACAGGUGAUGUUGGACAAUGAGGCUGCUCAGGAUUUGUAAUGGAAGAAAGAUUAGGUAGUCAACUUUUAUAACUGGGUAUAAAGUGACUUUGGCUUUACUUAAUGUUCGGAUACAUUUAUGAGCCUCUGAAAGCAAAAUCAAAAAGUCCCACCAGUGGUUCCACGAUGCUAUUCACAGGGCAAGGCAUUGGUAUUGGGAAGCUCAUGAUGGGUGAGCAGGGGAUGAUAGUGACAGACAACUGAUAAUUUCUCCCAAAGGGGUGGCUGCUCCCCAGGAUUAAUUGGGAAUCACUCCUGAUAUUUCCUUCCAUAUGAAGCACAUUCAUUAGGUAGCACUUUCUCCACUACCUCCUUUAUCACACCCAUGAGUUUGGAAGGAUAAAAAUGAGCAUCAGUAGCAUAGACUUUUCAUUUUCCUUCCCUUUGGAGAGUGAGCUGUCCCAGAUAGAACACAUACAAAUCUUCCUCCUCUGCAUGCAGAGGAUAGCCCUGCCACUGCUGUUGGGAAAGGGGUUAAUUUCAGCUCCAAUACCAGGAAGUUUUCUGUUCAUAGAUACAAGCCCCCUUCUCCAGCAUCAGUGUUAUCAGUAAGAAGAUGGUGAUUGGAUCUCGCAUCUGGUUUUUUUCUUUUUUUAACAACGUGUCAUUAACCUCAGUGCUUUUGAGCACAGAUUUACCUCGCUGCCAAUCUACUUUAUCAGUGAUGUUAUGACUUAUUAAUUACUUCCUGUGAUUGACUGUUGAACGUGUCUCAGGUCUGACUGGUAGAGAUCACACAUUUUUGAGCCUUUGCACGCACCUGUGCACUCACGUGACUUUGUCCACUUCUAAACACUUUUGCCAACAGUGGCUUUAGACAUUUGUUUGCAG